CCUACGGGGGGCAGCAGUGAGGAAUAUUGGUCAAUGGACGCAAGUCUGAACCAGCCAUGCCGCGUGCAGGAUGACGGCUCUAUGAGUUGUAAACUUCUUUUGUACGAGGGUAAACCCCGAUACGUGUAGCGUUUUGAAAGUAUCGUACGAAUAAGCAUCGGCUAACUCCGUGCCAGCAGCCGCGGUAAUACGGAGGAUCCGAGCGUUAUCCGGAUUUAUUGGGUUUAAAGGGUGCGUAGGCGGUAUGAUAAGUUAGAGGUGAAAUGUCGGGGCUCAACCCCCAACCUGCCUCUAAUACUGUUGGACUAGAGAAUAGUUGAGGUAGGCGGAAUGUAUGGUGUAGCGGUGAAAUGCUUAGAUAUCACGCAGAACUCCGAUUGCGAAGGCAGCAUACCGGCCUGCAACUGACACUGAGGCUCGAAAGUGUGGGUAUCAAACAGGAUUAGAUACCCUUGUAGUC
RNAcentral lists this ribosomal RNA (460 nucleotides) under uncultured bacterium. RNAcentral's name for it is "partial 16S ribosomal RNA". It matches the Rfam family "Bacterial small subunit ribosomal RNA", at positions 338 to 795 of the family's 1533-position model. The record is from RNAcentral.